UUGCAUUCAGUUGAUGUAGAUUAGAGUUUUACAGGUCU
Molecule: transfer RNA, 38 nt
Filed under: Pachydactylus latirostris
Lineage: Eukaryota; Metazoa; Chordata; Lepidosauria; Squamata; Gekkonidae
Description: Pachydactylus mariquensis latirostris partial tRNA-Ala
Source: RNAcentral